Molecule: RNA transcript, 871 nt
Organism: Daphnia pulicaria
Lineage: Eukaryota; Metazoa; Arthropoda; Branchiopoda; Diplostraca; Daphniidae
Exons: 4
Source: RefSeq, a predicted model, not a curated record
UAAAUAAUUGGUUGGUUUUGGGCAGUAAAACAUGAAAAUUCGAAUACAAAAGAUAACAUAACUCGUUCACACAUUUCGCCAUUUUAAAAACAAUACAAACACCAUCUAGCGGCACACUGGAAAAUUCUCUGAAUUGUAAAAACAACCGCUAGAUGAUGCCAGUGCUGAUGCAGACAGAAUACAGCUCGUGACAGCUGAAGUGUGGAAAAUUCUUGAAAGAAUUCGAAAAGUGAAAUCAAUAUUCAGCCUAAGUUAUCAAUGUUUUUGAAGCUGAAAACCUAAAAGAUGAAAGAACUUGGUAUCAUGUUAACUAAAUGUUCUAAUGCAUAUUUACAGUCCAUUUGUCAUCAUUUACCACGUAAUGACGACCAUUGUUGAAGCUGGCCAGGAAUUCUAAGUUGUCAUCAAUCCUGCAGCUGUGUGCCUAUACUAAAAAUGGAAUAAAAAAUUGUAAUUACACAGCAAUCUUACAAAUUUUCUGUUCUUGUUUUUCAGAUGCAUGUUUUGUAAAUGGUGAAUCUCAAAUGAAUCCAAGAACUUUGAGUCGUCAUUUCACUUUCUUUCCAAUUUUAAUAAUGGUUUUUGUUUGAUUUUUCUAGGGGAUAUUGAUAUUGCAGACAUACCAUUUUGCAAGUACUUACCUACCUGAGCAGCUGAGCUCUUCCUUUCUGUGGUUCCUUUCAAUUGAUUCAUUUGAGUUAAAUCCCUCGCCACUGUUCCAGACCUUACCCACUAGUGGAAUAUGCAGAGAGAUGUUCAACUUAUACCAGGUUAACCCUUCGCCAUUGUGCUACAAUUUGAAGAAGUUGACGGUUACAGAAGAGCUGGCUUUUGAUCAAUAUCAAUAAAUUAUGUAGAUGUAGGUAAAUUA